GACGAACGCUGGCGGCGUGCCUAAUACAUGCAAGUCGAACGCUUAUUUCCUCCCGAGUGCUUGCACUCAAUUGGAAAGAGGAGUGGCGGACGGGUGAGUAACACGUGGGUAACCUACCCAUCAGAGGGGGAUAACACUUGGAAACAGGUGCUAAUAUCGCAUAACAGUUUAUGCCGCAUGCAUAAGAGUGAAAGGCGCUUUCGGGUGUCGCUGAUGGAUGGACCGGCGGUGCAUUAGCUAGUUGGUGAGGUAACGGCUCACCAAGGCAACGAUGCAUAGCCGACCUGAGAGGGGGAUCGGCCACACUGGGACUGAGACACGGCCCAGACUCCUACGGGAGGCAGCAGUAGGGAAUCUUCGGCAAUGGACGAAAGUCUGACCGAGCAACGCCGCGUGAGUGAAGAAGGUUUUCGGAUCGUAAAACUCUGUUGUUAGAGAAGAACAAGGACGUUAGUAACUGAACGUCCCCUGACGGUAUCUAACCAGAAAGCCACGGCUAACUACGUG
RNAcentral lists this ribosomal RNA (507 nucleotides) under uncultured bacterium. RNAcentral describes it as "partial 16S ribosomal RNA". It matches the Rfam family "Bacterial small subunit ribosomal RNA", at positions 28 to 507 of the family's 1533-position model. The record is from RNAcentral.